UACGAAGGGUGCAACCGUUGCUCGGAAUCAUUGGGCGUAAAGCGCACGUAGGCGGCUUGCCAAGUCGGACGUGAAAUCCCUCAGCUCAACUGAGGACGUGCAUCCGAAACUGGCGAGCUUGAGUACUGAAGAGGAUCGCGGAAUUCCCGGUGUAGAGGUGAAAUUCGUAGAUAUCGGGAGGAACACCAGUGGCGAAGGCGGCGAUCUGGGCAGAUACUGACGCUGAGAGGCGAAAGCGUGGGGAGCAAACAGG
RNAcentral lists this ribosomal RNA (253 nucleotides) under uncultured bacterium. RNAcentral's name for it is "partial 16S ribosomal RNA". It matches the Rfam family "Bacterial small subunit ribosomal RNA", at positions 524 to 776 of the family's 1533-position model. The record is from RNAcentral.